UUUGCUUUGGCUAGCUAGCACCAGAUGCCUAACCACAAACGAUCUCCGGUAGAAGCUAGAGACCCCACCGGUGCUCGCGCACGCACACAAAUGGGCUCGUGCCACACACCACACAGGCAGGAGCUUGGAAUGAAACACAGGAGAGCCCAGAAUGGGACAUAGUUCGAGUUGUUGGAGGUUUGUUUGGGAACACCAGAGGAGACGCUCUGCCUGCAUGUCGGCCCUCAAGACCGUGACUUCAGGCCAAAAGAGAUGAAGAUCCAACACAUGACCUUUGGCACAUUUGGCAGCUAGACAGCUGCGAGGGUUGCGGAGCUGCUGGUAAUAUUUCCUGUUCCUCUCUACAAAUACUACACCGGGCACUGGACUAAGACUGUCUGGAUUUGGCUAAAUCCUCAGGGAAAACCCCCGAGUGAAUAGAGAAUGUGUCAUUAUGUAAGGAUUGUACCACUUAUGAGCAAGCUGAAUCAAUAGUGAUUUUUAAAGUUAGGAAGUGUCACCUUUUUUCUCUUGAUCCUAAUCUAGUUAUUUUAAAGAGGACAUAUUAUGCUCAUUCUGAGGUUCCUUUUUGUAUUCGGAGCCUCUAAUGCAACACUUUUACAUGUUUUACUGUUCAAAUAGGUCUUUGCAUUUAACCAUGUGUAUACAACCUAAACAAUUCAAGAAUAAGACAAUGCAUCAAUGCAAUAUUCUGCUCUCUGAUGUCAAUCCUCCUUCCACUGUUUU
Molecule: long non-coding RNA, 726 nt
Organism: Notothenia coriiceps (black rockcod)
Lineage: Eukaryota; Metazoa; Chordata; Actinopteri; Perciformes; Nototheniidae
Exons: 2
Source: RefSeq, a predicted model, not a curated record